RNAcentral lists this ribosomal RNA (117 nucleotides) under uncultured bacterium. RNAcentral describes it as "partial 16S ribosomal RNA". It matches the Rfam family "Bacterial small subunit ribosomal RNA", at positions 1358 to 1482 of the family's 1533-position model. The record is from RNAcentral.
CGCGGUGAAUACGUUCCCGGACCUUGUACACACCGCCCGUCAAGCCAUGGAAGCUGGGUGUACCUAAAGUCGGUAACCGCAAGGAGCCGACCUAGGGUAAAACUAGUAACUGGGGCU